UCGCCAGACUCCUACGGGAGGCAGCAGUGGGGAAUAUUGCACAAUGGGGGGAACCCUGAUGCAGCGACGCCGCGUGAGUGAAGAAGUAUUUCGGUAUGUAAAGCUCUAUCAGCAGGGAAGAUAAUGACGGUACCUGACUAAGAAGCCCCGGCUAACUACGUGCCAGCAGCCGCGGUAAUACGUAGGGGGCAAGCGUUAUCCGGAUUUACUGGGUGUAAAGGGUGCGUAGGUGGCAGGGCAAGUCAGCGGUAAAAUCGCGGGGCUCAACCUCGCUCCGCCGUUGAAACUGGCGUUCUUGAGUGGGCGAGAAGUAUGCGGAAUGCGUGGUGUAGCGGUGAAAUGCAUAGAUAUCACGCAGAACUCCGAUUGCGAAGGCAGCAUACCGGCGCCCAACUGACGCUGAAGCACGAAAGCGUGGGUAUCGAACAGGAUUAGAUACCCUAGUAUAC
Molecule: ribosomal RNA, 449 nt
Filed under: uncultured bacterium
Lineage: Bacteria
Description: bacterial SSU rRNA
Rfam family: Bacterial small subunit ribosomal RNA
Source: RNAcentral